This 496-nucleotide ribosomal RNA is filed under the name uncultured bacterium. RNAcentral describes it as "partial 16S ribosomal RNA". It matches the Rfam family "Bacterial small subunit ribosomal RNA", at positions 29 to 507 of the family's 1533-position model. The record is from RNAcentral.
AUGAACGCUGGCGGCGUGCCUAAUACAUGCAAGUCGCGCGAACGGACGAGAAGCUUGCUUCUCUGAUGUUAGCGGCGGACGGGUGAGUAACACGUGGAUAACCUACCUAUAAGACUGGGAUAACUUCGGGAAACCGGAGCUAAUACCGGAUAAUAUUUUGAACCGCAUGGUUCAAAAGUGAAAGACGGUCUUGCUGUCACUUAUAGAUGGAUCCGCGCAGCAUUAGCUAGUUGGUAAGGUAACGGCUUACCAAGGCAACGAUGCAUAGCCGACCUGAGAGGGUGAUCGGCCACACUGGAACUGAGACACGGUCCAGACUCCUACGGGAGGCAGCAGUAGGGAAUCUUCCGCAAUGGGCGAAAGCCUGACGGAGCAACGCCGCGUGAGUGAUGAAGGUCUUCGGAUCGUAAAACUCUGUUAUUAGGGAAGAACAUAUGUGUAAGUAACUGUGCACAUCUUGACGGUACCUAAUCAGAAAGCCACGGCUAACUACGUG